RNAcentral lists this unclassified non-coding RNA (438 nucleotides) under Hevea brasiliensis (rubber tree). Lineage: Eukaryota; Viridiplantae; Streptophyta; Magnoliopsida; Malpighiales; Euphorbiaceae. The record is from RNAcentral.
AAAAAAGAAAAAAAAAAGGAGCAAGGUGUAGAUUAUGUAAACACAGGAGAUUUUGGUAAUUUUCCACACUUUUAACUGUAUACAUACUAUUAUUCUUUUUCCCUCUUUCCAACUGCAUGUAAGAAGAUCUCCAUUCAGUAAAGGCUAUUUAGUGGGAUAAAAUUAUGAGAUCAGUGAUUUAUCUGUUUGAACAUAAAAGAUAAAAUUCAUGAACAUAGUUAUCUGAAUGGGGGACAAUGAGACAUUUCAGCACUUUCUGCAUGGAAGUGAUGUAUUUGUGAUUGCCAUGGUGGACAUACCAGAAUUUUUUUUUAUACCAUUUCUACAUGAUGGGCGCUCUAAAUUGUAAUUUGUUUUCCAUUAGAUGGAUAAAAUUUGAUAUUUUUCUAAGAUAGCUGGUUUCAAUGUUUUCCAGGUGAAUAUUUUCCUAAAGCUUAU